ACUGCUUAGAGUUUAAGCCCGAUGAACCUGAAUAUCCAUUAUAGAAAAUUCAGCACUAAUGAAAUGAUAUAUAUUAAAAAAUAUUGUAGAAAUAGUGUGCAAUUUUUCUAUAUAAGGACAUUGUAAUCUGUUAAUGUAAUAAAUACUUAUCAAAAGAUCCAUUACUUAAGUUUAUUUAAAUUAGUUAUUUUCGAAUUUCUAACAUAAAAUAAAUGUUUUGGAUUUGAUAAAUCAUUGACAGAUAUAAUUAUAUAAUGUGCUUAAAUUCUUUUGAAUUUUAUAAUGGUAGAUAGAUCUAUUGAUUUAUUUAUUUAAUUAUAUGCGCUAUUAUGAUUAACAAUGCGAUAGAUUCAGGAUACCUUCGGGACCCGUCUUGAAACACGGACCAAGGAGUCUAACAUAUGUGCAAGUCAUUGGGUAUUUUUAAUAAAACCCAUUGGCAUAAUUAACUUAACUGUUAUUAUAAUGGAAUUAGUUUAUAUUUUAUUUAAAAUACGAAUUCAAUUCCGGGGCGUUCUAUAUAGUUAUACAUAAUGAUAUUUAUAUUAUUUAUGCCUCUAACUAGAGC
This 568-nucleotide ribosomal RNA is filed under the name Dideoides latus. RNAcentral describes it as "eukaryotic LSU rRNA". The record is from RNAcentral. Lineage: Eukaryota; Metazoa; Arthropoda; Insecta; Diptera; Syrphidae.